Molecule: ribosomal RNA, 247 nt
Filed under: uncultured Hydrogenophaga sp.
Lineage: Bacteria; Pseudomonadati; Pseudomonadota; Betaproteobacteria; Burkholderiales; Comamonadaceae
Description: partial 16S ribosomal RNA
Rfam family: Bacterial small subunit ribosomal RNA
Source: RNAcentral
GUAGGGUGCAAGCGUUAAUCGGAAUUACUGGGCGUAAAGCGUGCGCAGGCGGUUUUGUAAGACAGGCGUGAAAUCCCCGGGCUCAACCUGGGAAUGGCGCUUGUGACUGCAAAGCUGGAGUGCGGCAGAGGGGGAUGGAAUUCCGCGUGUAGCAGUGAAAUGCGUAGAUAUGCGGAGGAACACCGAUGGCGAAGGCAAUCCCCUGGGCCUGCACUGACGCUCAUGCACGAAAGCGUGGGGAGCAAAC